GACGACUUCUGGUGACGGUAGGUAGAUAAGAAGCACCGGCUAACUACGUGCCAGCAGCCGCGGUAAUACGUAGGGUGCAAGCGUUGUCCGGGAAUUACUGGGCGUAAAGAGCUCGUAGGUGGUUUGUCGCGUCGUCUGUGAAAUCCCGGGGCUUAACUUCGGGCGUGCAGGCGAUACGGGCAUAACUUGAGUGCUGUAGGGGAGACUGGAAUUCCUGGUGUAGCGGUGAAAUGCGCAGAUAUCAGGAGGAACACCGAUGGCGAAGGCAGGUCUCUGGGCAGUUACUGACGCUGAGGAGCGAAAGCAUGGGUAGCGAACAGGAUUAGAUACCCUGGUAGUCCAUGCCGUAAACGGUGGGCGCUAGGUGUAGGGGGCUUCCACGUCUUCUGUGCCGUAGCUAACGCAUUAAGCGCCCCGCCUGGGGAGUACGGCCGCAAGGCUAAAACUCAAAGGAAUUGACGGGGGCCCGCACAAGCGGCGGAGCAUGUGGAUUAAUUCGAUGCAACGCGAAGAACCUUACCUGGGCUUGACAUAUACAGGAUCGGGCUAGAGAUAGUCUUUCCCUUGUGGUCUGUAUACAGGUGGUGCAUGGUUGUCGUCAGCUCGUGUCGUGAGAUGUUGGGUUAAGUCCCGCAACGAGCGCAACCCUUGUCUUAUGUUGCCAGCACGUUAUGGUGGGAACUCAUGAGAGACUGCCGGGGUUAACUCGGAGGAAGGUGGGGAUGACGUCAAAUCAUCAUGCCCCUUAUGUCCAGGGCUUCACACAUGCUACAAUGGUCGAUACAGUGGGCAGCGACAUCGUAAGGUGGAGCGAAUCCCUGAAAGUCGGCCUUAGUUCGGAUUGGGGUCUGCAACUCGACCCCAUGAAGUCGGAGUCGCUAGUAAUCGCAGAUCAGCAAUGCUGCGGUGAAUACGUUCCCGGGCCUUGUACACACCGCCCGUCACGUCAUGAAAGUUGGUAACACCCGAAGCCAGUGGCCUAAACUUGUUAGGGAGC
This 997-nucleotide ribosomal RNA is filed under the name Corynebacterium stationis. RNAcentral's name for it is "bacterial SSU rRNA". It matches the Rfam family "Bacterial small subunit ribosomal RNA", at positions 458 to 1453 of the family's 1533-position model. The record is from RNAcentral. Lineage: Bacteria; Bacillati; Actinomycetota; Actinomycetes; Mycobacteriales; Corynebacteriaceae.